UCUCUCUCAUUUUCUACACCAGAGCUCUGCAAAAAUGGCGAUUCCCUAAAUAUCAAGAGAUUUCAAGUCAUUUUCAUCGCAAACAGAUCUGUGUAGUUCGUGUGUGUGAUUUUUAUCCAUUUGUAGUGCUGUUUUGUGAAGAUUUUCAAGCAAAGAAAGUAACUGGUUACUCAAUACGGUGGUUUUCUUACAAGAGAUUAACACAAUUUUCGUAGACAUAACGAGGAAUUCGAUGAAUGGGUUAAAAAUAGAAGUUAGGGUUUUGAAUCUGGUGCUGGCUGUAGAUAGGAGAACAAGUGGUGACAGAGAUGGAUCGUUCACAAGAAAAGGAAUCUGAGAAGGAUAUGGGACUGGUGGUGUUGAUAAAAUGGGUUGUUGUUGAAGUUGUAUGUGGAGAAAGUGCAGAGAAACAAUGGGUCUGGUAGUAUGAUUGCAGUGACUGAAGUUGGUGGUUGAACUGGUGGAUUUCUGAGAAGAUUGUGGGACUUUCAGAGAAUGGUGUUGGUGGUUAAGAAGAAAUUGUUACUGCAAUGAAUGUAAGCAGUUUUAGAUGGCUCAAAUGUUGUGAUUUGAGAAUGUGUAGGGACUGAAAUUGCAAGGAAGAUGGAGUGACAAUGGUUAACAAAUCUGGUGAUGGAUAUAGAGUUGUAAUACAGCUGAAGGUGAAGCAACAUGAAUGGGUUAUAGAUAGGGUUUGAUGAAAUUGAUCUGAUAUUGUUGUUGGUGCUUGAUACUGCAAUUUCAGUUUGCUGCAGCUGCAGUUCGAGUUAAUGGCUAGAAGAGACUGGCAAUGAAUGCUUGGUUUGUUAGAAAAUCACCAAAGUUACACGGCGCGUUCAAGUUUUUCAACAAGUUUUAGCCAAUGAAGUUUCGCCAAGGUUCAUGCUCAGUUCGUACAACUCCAACAUUAUUACAAAGUUAAGUGAUACCUUUUGUUAUCGAUGUAUCAUCGUCGAUGUCUUCUUAUCUUCAUUGUUAAUUGUUCAAGUUGCACACUAUGUUUCUCUACGUUUCCAACUUGAGGGGGAGUAUUAGAGUAGUAUAUCGCUUAUGUACAAGUAGCCGAGGUGUAAAGAAUGACUAAGGCAGCUAUAUUAUGAAGUGAAGACCAAGCAAGUGACCGAGCAGCCAACGCACGUGAAGUGAAGACCAAGUCAAGUGAACUGCACUCAAGGCACGUGAAGCAAAGAACAAGACAAAACAUAAACCUAACAUAAUUAUCUUCCUAGGUCUAAUUUACUCUAUAAAGAAGAGUUUCCAUGUAACUGUAAAACUAUCUCAGAGUAUUCUGAAGAUCAAUAAUAUCUCUCACCUUACGGGUUUCAUCCGCGGAUGUA
Long non-coding RNA from Papaver somniferum (opium poppy), 1337 nucleotides. RefSeq lists it as uncharacterized. The transcript is spliced from 2 exons. The record is from RefSeq and is a predicted model, not a curated record. Lineage: Eukaryota; Viridiplantae; Streptophyta; Magnoliopsida; Ranunculales; Papaveraceae.